AUACCAUAAUGAGGGUAUUUUUGCAACAAUUCCUCUAUUCACUUCCAUGCCUCACAUAAGGAUUAUUCAUCUGGUUGUUGAAAAAAGGUGAUCUCAUUUCAUAUUUU
Small nucleolar RNA from Humulus lupulus (European hop), 107 nucleotides. NCBI's taxonomy places the organism in Eukaryota, Viridiplantae, Streptophyta, Magnoliopsida, Rosales, Cannabaceae. The record is from RefSeq and is a predicted model, not a curated record.